This 482-nucleotide ribosomal RNA is filed under the name uncultured bacterium. RNAcentral's name for it is "partial 16S ribosomal RNA". It matches the Rfam family "Bacterial small subunit ribosomal RNA", at positions 30 to 507 of the family's 1533-position model. The record is from RNAcentral.
AUUGAACGCUGGCUGCAUGCUUUACACAUGCAAGUCGAACGGUAACAGCACUUCGGUGGCUGACGAGUGGCGAACGGGUGAGUAAUACAUCGGAACGUGCCUAGUAGUGGGGGAUAACUACUCGAAAGAGUAGCUAAUACCGCAUGAGAUCUAAGGAUGAAAGCAGGGGACCUUCGGGCCUUGCGCUACUAGAGCGGCUGAUGGCAGAUUAGGUAGUUGGUGGGAUAAAAGCUUACCAAGCCGACGAUCUGUAGCUGGUCUGAGAGGACGACCAGCCACACUGGGACUGAGACACGGCCCAGACUCCUACGGGAGGCAGCAGUGGGGAAUUUUGGACAAUGGGCGCAAGCCUGAUCCAGCAAUGCCGCGUGCAGGAUGAAGGCCUUCGGGUUGUAAACUGCUUUUGUACGGAACGAAAAGCCCUCUUCUAAUACAGGAGGGUCAUGACGGUACCGUAAGAAUAAGCACCGGCUAACUACGUG